RNAcentral lists this ribosomal RNA (292 nucleotides) under uncultured bacterium. RNAcentral describes it as "partial 16S ribosomal RNA". It matches the Rfam family "Bacterial small subunit ribosomal RNA", at positions 505 to 796 of the family's 1533-position model. The record is from RNAcentral.
GUGCCAGCAGCCGCGGUAAGACGAGGGGUCCAAGCGUUGUUCGGAAUCAUUGGGCGUAAAGCGGGUGUAGGCGGCUCUAUAAGUCAGGAGUGAAAGCCCCGAGCUUAACUUGGGAAGUGCUUUUGAUACUGCAGAGCUUGAAUGUGGGAGAGGUUAGUGGAAUUCCAGGUGUAGUGGUGAAAUACGUAGAUAUCUGGAGGAACACCGGUGGCGAAGGCGACUAACUGGCCCAACAUUGACGCUGAGACCCGAAAGCAUGGGGAUCAAACAGGAUUAGAAACCCUGGUAGUCC